GAUUGAACGCUGGCGGCAGGCCUAACACAUGCAAGUCGAGCGGUAGCACAGAGAGCUUGCUCUCGGGUGACGAGCGGCGGACGGGUGAGUAAUGUCUGGGAAACUGCCUGAUGGAGGGGGAUAACUACUGGAAACGGUAGCUAAUACCGCAUAAUGUCGCAAGACCAAAGUGGGGGACCUUCGGGCCUCAUGCCAUCAGAUGUGCCCAGAUGGGAUUAGCUAGUAGGUGGGGUAACGGCUCACCUAGGCGACGAUCCCUAGCUGGUCUGAGAGGAUGACCAGCCACACUGGAACUGAGACACGGUCCAGACUCCUACGGGAGGCAGCAGUGGGGAAUAUUGCACAAUGGGCGCAAGCCUGAUGCAGCCAUGCCGCGUGUGUGAAGAAGGCCUUCGGGUUGUAAAGCACUUUCAGCGGGGAGGAAGGCGAUAAGGUA
This 436-nucleotide ribosomal RNA is filed under the name Klebsiella pneumoniae. Its description in RNAcentral is "bacterial SSU rRNA". It matches the Rfam family "Bacterial small subunit ribosomal RNA", at positions 27 to 461 of the family's 1533-position model. The record is from RNAcentral. Lineage: Bacteria; Pseudomonadati; Pseudomonadota; Gammaproteobacteria; Enterobacterales; Enterobacteriaceae.